GCGCGCCCCCUCCCACCCCGCGCCUGGCUCGCUCGCGGGUACAGUAGGUGUACAGCCAGGGGAAGAAGACACUGGGGCUGCCGGGAGGCUGAACCUGACUUCUCUUCAUUGUAGGCUCCUAUUGUCUUAACUCUGCCUUUCAAGAUUUUGCAACUCUGGCUCAACUAACAUCUUCAAGAUGCAGCAAAUUUGACUUUGAUGUGGAGAUUAGAGUGGAUAUUAAGCAAAUGACAACCUUUUUACUUGCAUUAAGAGAGAAAGAAGAAGCAGUGUCCUACUUCAGCAGGAGGUACUUUUGUUUUGUGUAACUAAGGCAUUUCCAAUUUAGGGAAUAGCAGUAGGUCAAGGUCCAGGGAGGAGGUCAGUGAAAGACUAAUAAAAUGUAUUUUCUCUUUUUCUGUAUGUUUCUCUGACUAGAACAGAAACUGACCUCUACAGGAUGUUUGGGUGAAGGUAAGGCUA
RNAcentral lists this long non-coding RNA (462 nucleotides) under Monodon monoceros (narwhal). Its description in RNAcentral is "lncRNA (ENSMMNG00015006023.1)". The record is from RNAcentral. Lineage: Eukaryota; Metazoa; Chordata; Mammalia; Artiodactyla; Monodontidae.